Molecule: ribosomal RNA, 424 nt
Filed under: Verrucomicrobiota bacterium
Lineage: Bacteria; Pseudomonadati; Verrucomicrobiota
Description: Verrucomicrobia bacterium partial 16S ribosomal RNA
Rfam family: Bacterial small subunit ribosomal RNA
Source: RNAcentral
UGAGGAAUAUUGGUCAAUGGACGAGAGUCUGAACCAGCCAAGUAGCGUGCAGGAUGACGGCCCUAUGGGUUGUAAACUGCUUUUGUUUGGGAAUAAUCGACAUUACGUGUAAUGUUUUGCAUGUACCAUUCGAAUAAGGACCGGCUAAUUCCGUGCCAGCAGCCGCGGUAAUACGGAAGGUCCAGUCGUUACCCGGAUUUAUUGGGUUUAAAGGGAGUGUAGGCGGUUGGUUAAGCGUGUUGUGAAAUGUAGAUGCUCAACAUCUGACUUGCAGCGCAAACUGGAUGACUUGAGUACACACAACGUAGGCGGAAUUCAAGGUGUAGCGGUGAAAUGCUUAGAUAUCAUGAAGAACACCGAUUGCGAAGGCAGCUUACGGGAGUAUUACUGACGCUUAAGCUCGAAAGUGCGGGUAUCGAACAGG